AGUCGCGACCCAGCAGCACGGCUCAGUCUGAAUGACGCUGAGUCCGACAGAUUGAAUGGGGCCGUCUCCGCCCUGGACCAUGUCAGACUUCUUCUGUACUGGACAUUAACACCCCUAUAGAGAAACCACCACUUCAUUCCGGUUGGCGUUGAGUAACACCCGUCCUCGCCUCCGUCAUGCGUUUCGCCAAACGCUAAAAUGCCAGGGUUAUGAGUCGAAUCCAGCGAUGCCGAUGUCGCCCAAGGUCUUCCACUACCGUUCCGCCUCCCGCUUCCGCCGCUUCUCAUCCUCCCCCGCCUUCCCCCUUAUUUGCCUAAUCUUCGGCAUCGCCGGUGUCCUCUUCGGCCUUUUCUCCAUCACGAGACCCGCCAGAAAGUGCCCCGAUGUCGAACCCAGGGCGUUGUCUUUCAUGUGGGACCGUAAUGAAGGCGGAGGAGCUGGUGGUGGAGUGGCGGAGCGGCACAAGGUAAUGGGUUUCGUCGGGAUCCAGACGGGAUUUGGAUCCGUUGGUCGACGGUGGGCUAUCAGGCAGACGUGGUUGCCCGCCGAUCGCCAAGGUCUUCUUCGCUUGGAAGAGGCGACUGGCUUGGCCUUCAGAUUUGUUAUAGGAAAGACCAAAGAUAAAUCAAAAAUGGCAGCGCUUCAAACAGAGGUGAAUGAGUAUGAUGACUUCAUGCUUAUAGAUAUUGAGGAAGAGUACAGCAAUCUUCCAUAUAAAACGUUAGCUUUCUUUAAAGCAGCAUUUGCACUUUAUGAUUCAGAUUUCUAUGUGAAAGCUGAUGAUGAUAUAUAUUUGAGACCAGAUCGACUUUCCUUGCUUUUGGCAAAAGAGCGACCAACCACUCAAACAUAUCUUGGAUGCAUGAAAAAGGGUCCUGUAUUCACUGACCCUCACCUCAAGUGGUACGAGCCACUAUCACACCUGCUUGGGACAGGAUACUUUCUUCAUGCUUAUGGUCCCAUAUAUGCACUUUCAUCUGAUGUGGUGUCGAGCUUGGUUGCACUGAGAAACAACAGUUUCCGAAUGUUCAGCAACGAGGACGUGACAAUAGGUUCCUGGAUGCUUGCUAUGAAUGUCAACCAUGAAAACAACCUUGCUCUUUGCGAGCCUGAUUGUUCGUCAUCAUCAAUUGCUGUUUGGGAUAUUCCAAGAUGCUCAGGCCUCUGCAACCCAGAAGUGAAGAUGUUACAACUCCACAAAAAGGAGAUAUGUUCAGGAAUUCCAAAAUCAUCAGAUGAAUGAGAAGCUUGGAAACACGGAACUGGAUAGAAAAAAAUCCAACUUGCAACCAGAAAGUAGAAAGUCUCUGCUGGAUUGUUACUUCUUUUCAAAAAUUUUGAUGUGAGGAUAAACCCAACUCAAACCACACCGUGAUGACACGCAAAUUGUAAGGACAUUUAAUCUCAUCUAGCUUCACGUUGGUUUAACUCGAA
Molecule: RNA transcript, 1434 nt
Organism: Zingiber officinale
Lineage: Eukaryota; Viridiplantae; Streptophyta; Magnoliopsida; Zingiberales; Zingiberaceae
Gene name: probable beta-1,3-galactosyltransferase 14
Exons: 8
Source: RefSeq, a predicted model, not a curated record